RNAcentral lists this ribosomal RNA (254 nucleotides) under uncultured bacterium. Its description in RNAcentral is "partial 16S ribosomal RNA". It matches the Rfam family "Bacterial small subunit ribosomal RNA", at positions 524 to 776 of the family's 1533-position model. The record is from RNAcentral.
UACGAAGGGGGGCUAGCGUUGCUCGGAAUGACUGGGCGUAAAGGGCGCGUAGGCGGAUGGCACAGUCAGAUGUGAAAUUCCCGGGCUUAACCUGGGGGCUGCAUUUGAUACGUGUUGUCUAGAGUGAGGAAGAGGGUCGUGGAAUUCCCAGUGUAGAGGUGAAAUUCGUAGAUAUUGGGAAGAACACCAGCGGCGAAGGCGGCGCUCUGGGCCGGUACUGACGCUGAGGAGCGAAAGCGUGGGGAGCGAACAGG